CUCCGGUUGAUCCUGCCGGACCCGACUGCUAUCAGAGUGGGACUAAGCCAUGCGAGUCAACAUAGCAAUAUGUGGCAUACGGCCCAGUAACACGUAGUCAACAUGCCCAGGGGACGUGGAUAACCUCGGGAAACUGAGGAUAAACCGCGAUAGGUCAUCACUUCUGGAAUGGGUAAUGACUUAAAUCUAUAUGGCCCCUGGAUUGGACUGCGGCCGAUCAGGCUGUUGGUGAGGUAAUGGCCCACCAAACCUGUAACCGGUACGGGCUCUGAGAGGAGGAGCCCGGAGAUGGGCACUGAGACAAGGGCCCAGGCCCUAUGGGGCGCAGCAGGCGCGAAACCUCUGCAAUAGGCGAAAGCUUGACAGGGUUACUCUGAGUGAUUUCCGUUAAGGAGAUCUUUUGGCACCUCUAAAAAUGGUGCAGAAUAAGGGGUGGGCAAGUCUGGUGUCAGCCGCCGCGGUAAUACCAGCACCCCGAGUGGUCGGGACGUUUAUUGGGCCUAAAGCAUCCGUAGCCGGUUCUACAAGUCUUCCGUUAAAUCCACCUGCUUAACAGAUGGGCUGCGGAAGAUACUAUAGAGCUAGGAGGCGGGAGAGGCAAGCGGUACUCGAUGGGUAGGGGUAAAAUCCGUUGAUCCAUUGAAGACCACCAGUGGCGAAGGCGGCUUGCCAGAACGCGCUCGACGGUGAGGGAUGAAAGCUGGGGGAGCAAACCGGAUUAGAUACCCGGGUAGUCCCAGCUGUAAACGAUGCAGACUCGGUGAUGAGUUGGCUUAUUGCUAACUCAGUGCCGCAGGGAAGCCGUUAAGUUUGCCGCCUGGGGAGUACGGUCGCAAGACUGAAACUUAAAGGAAUUGGCGGGGGAGCA
This 868-nucleotide ribosomal RNA is filed under the name uncultured archaeon. Its description in RNAcentral is "bacterial SSU rRNA". It matches the Rfam family "Archaeal small subunit ribosomal RNA", at positions 1 to 878 of the family's 1478-position model. The record is from RNAcentral.